GACGAACGCUGGCGGCGUGCUUAACACAUGCAAGUCGAACGGAAAGGCCCUGCUCUUGUGGGGUGCUCGGGUGGCGAACGGGUGAGUAACACGAGAGUAACCUGCCCUUGACUUUGGGAUAGCUUCAGGAAACUGGGGCUAAGAUCGGAUAGGAGCUCCUGCGGCAGGGUGGGGGUUGGAAAGUUUCGGCGGUUGGGUAUGGACGCGCGGCUUAUCAGCUUGUUGGUGGGGUAGUGGCUUACCAAGGCUUUGACGGGUAGCCGGCCUGAGAGGGUGACCGGCCACAUUGGGACUGAGACACGGCCCAGACUCGUACGGGAGGCAGCAGUGGGGAAUAGUGCACAAUGGGCGGAAGCCUGAUGGAGCAACGCCGCGUGCGGUAUGACGGCCUUCGGGUUGUAAACCGCUUUCGCCUGUGACGAAGCGUGAGUGACGGUAAUGGGUAAAGAAGCACCGGCUAACUACGUG
RNAcentral lists this ribosomal RNA (468 nucleotides) under uncultured bacterium. RNAcentral describes it as "partial 16S ribosomal RNA". It matches the Rfam family "Bacterial small subunit ribosomal RNA", at positions 28 to 507 of the family's 1533-position model. The record is from RNAcentral.